RNAcentral lists this ribosomal RNA (207 nucleotides) under uncultured bacterium. RNAcentral describes it as "partial 16S ribosomal RNA". It matches the Rfam family "Bacterial small subunit ribosomal RNA", at positions 568 to 774 of the family's 1533-position model. The record is from RNAcentral.
CGUGUAGGCGGGUUGGUAAGUCAGAUGUGAAAGCCCUGGGCUUAACCCAGGAAGUGCAUUUGAAACUGCCGUCCUUGAGUAUGGGAGAGGAGAGUGGAAUUCCCAAUGUAGAGGUGAAAUUCGUAGAUAUUGGGAGGAACACCCGUGGCGAAGGCGACUCUCUGGACCAAUACUGACGCUGAGACGCGAAAGCGUGGGGAGCAAACA